AGAGACAGCAGUAGCCGCGGUAAUACAGAGGGUGCAAGCGUUAAUCGGAAUUACUGGGCGUAAAGCGCGCGUAGGUGGUUUGUUAAGUUGGAUGUGAAAUCCCCGGGCUCAACCUGGGAACUGCAUCCAAAACUGGCAAGCUAGAGUAUGGUAGAGGGUGGUGGAAUUUCCUGUGUAGCGGUGAAAUGCGUAGAUAUAGGAAGGAACACCAGUGGCGAAGGCGACCACCUGGACUGAUACUGACACUGAGGUGCGAAAGCGUGGGGAGCAAACAGGAUUAGAUACCCCUGUAGUCCCUGUCUCUUAUAC
This 309-nucleotide ribosomal RNA is filed under the name uncultured bacterium. RNAcentral describes it as "partial 16S ribosomal RNA". It matches the Rfam family "Bacterial small subunit ribosomal RNA", at positions 504 to 807 of the family's 1533-position model. The record is from RNAcentral.